Long non-coding RNA from Acanthochromis polyacanthus (spiny chromis), 1322 nucleotides. RefSeq lists it as uncharacterized. The transcript has 3 exons. The record is from RefSeq and is a predicted model, not a curated record. NCBI's taxonomy places the organism in Eukaryota, Metazoa, Chordata, Actinopteri, Pomacentridae.
ACACAAUCUUCAUAUCAGACACACAACACCUGGUGGCUGUGUGUGUGUGUGUGUGUGUGUGUGUGUGUGUUUGUUUCCUAGAAAUCAGGAAACAGUGCAGUGACCCAUCACCUGCAUACCUGAGGAGGCCCCGCCCCCUCUGCACAUACCCAUGUCCAGAUCACAGUGAACUUGGACCAGUAGGACCAGCUGGUUCUGUUUGUUCCCCUUAGAACUCAUUCUGGGGUUGCAGUCUGCCUGGUGUCAGAACCGGGUCCAGUUUGAACAAAGUGGAAUGACCAGAACCAGCUGAGUGCACAACACCUGUCUGAUACCUGAUCCGCCUCAUCACUGAUCAUUAAUCCCUCUGAUCACUAAUCAAUGAUCCCGCAUCGGACCGCACGCUAACAGGUAACAGCUAACAGAUAACAACUUACAGCUAACAGCUAACAGAUAACAACUUACAGCUAACAGAUAACAGCUAACAGCUUACAGCUAAAAGGUAACAGGUACCAGCUAAAAGGUAACAGGUAACAGCUAACACCUUACAACUAACAGGUAACAGCUUACAGCUAACAGGUAACAGGUAACAGGUAACAGGUAACAGCUCACAGCCAACAGGUAACAACUAACAGAUAACAGGUAACAGCUUACAGCUAACAGGUAACAGCUAACAGCUAACAGGUAACAGGUAACAGCUAACAGCUAACAGCUAACAGCUUACAGCUUACAGCUAACAGCUUACAGCUAACAGGUAACAGCUAACAGCUAACAGCUAACAGGUAAUAGCUAAGAGCUAACAGCUUGUAGCUAACAGAUAACAGCUUACAGCUAACAGGUAACAGGUAACGGCUUACAGCUAACAGGAAACAACUUACAGCUAACAGGUAACAGCUAAGAGCUAACAGCUUGUAGCUAACAGAUAACAGCUUACAGCUAACAGCUAACAGGUAACAGGUAACGGCUUGCAGCUAACAGGAAACAACUUACAGCUAAUAGGUAACAGCUUACAGAUAACAAGUAACAACUUACAGGUAACAGAUUACAGAUAACAGCUAACAGCUUACAGCUUACAGCCAACAGGUAACAGCUAACAGCUAACAGCUUACAGGUAACAGCUAAUAGGUAACAGCUAAUAGGUAACAGCUAAUAGGUAACAGCUAAUAGGCAACAGCUUACAGAUAACAAGUAACAACUUACAGGUAACAGAUUACAGAUAACAGCUAACAGCUAACAGCUUACAGCUUACAGCCAACAGGUAACAGCUAACAGCUAACAGCUUACAGCUUACAGCUUACAGGUAACAGCUAAUAGGUAACAGCUAAUAGGUAACAGCUAAUAGG